UACUUCUAUUUAAACUCUGCCGAAGGGACGCUGCUCCUUCAUUUCAAAUUUCGUUGAAAGUGGUAAGAGUUAGUUUAAAACGUUAAAAUUAGUCAGAAACGUGCUUUGGAUGUCAUCUUGCUGAUCAACUUUAGUUUCGGCUUGUUUGCAAGUUUUCUGGGAAAAGAUGCAAGAAAUAGAAUUGCGAUACAUUGUAAUAAAUUCCAUUGAUAAUCUUGAUGCAAACAAUGAAAAUGGUUGAAUAUGUACCACACCUAUGAUAAUAUAACAUGUAUAGUAUAUAAAUAACUGUGGGAUAAAGAAGAUAUAUAACAUGAAAUAGGAAAAAAAUUUAAACUUUGAAAAAGCAAAGAAAGAUAUUAGAAAGGAAAGAUGUAUUCACGAAAAUAAUAAUUAAACCAUGAAACCUUUUUUUUAAAGAUAGGAAGAUUCUAUAAUUUACUUGAGCACGAUGUGUAUCAUUACUUUUUCAAAUAGGUGUUUGCACAUAUAUUAAUUACAAAGUUUAAUACCAGAAGACAAAUAACAAAAAGAUAAACUUGGAAGACAGGAACUGAAUACCAAUACGAAUUUGUUCUUAAACUAAUUAAGUCACAUGUAUAUAUACCUUUUAUAAAUAUAUACGAUUUUCUAACUAAA
This is a long non-coding RNA of Bombus pyrosoma, 639 nucleotides long. RefSeq lists it as uncharacterized. The transcript is spliced from 8 exons. The record is from RefSeq and is a predicted model, not a curated record. NCBI's taxonomy places the organism in Eukaryota, Metazoa, Arthropoda, Insecta, Hymenoptera, Apidae.